CUUAUGGUUAUUUUAUAUAUAUAAAUUUUUUUUUUCAAAAACUUAUAAAUGACUUAUAUAAAUAUAUAUAGAUAUUUUUUCUUUUUUUGUUUAAUUAUCUCCAGAGAUUUUAUUUAGCAGAAUUUAAUUAUUUACGUACUCCGGUUUUCGAUGUCGCGAAUAAAAGUACCAAUUCAAACUGAAGAACUUUUACCACGCGGGUGAAAUGUUGAGGAGUUUAAUUAUCACUUAAGAGAGCGUUUUACGGGUGAAAAAGCGGUACAAAACUUAUGACUGAAAUUUCCAUGAUAUUUCCAUUUAAGUCGGCAUUAAAACAAAAUCAUUUGUUAUAAAAUUAAAGAGAACAACUGGAUAAAUUCAACAGCAUAACAAAAGAAAAUCUCGUUACAAGAAAUAUUUGAUAACGGAAUUUCUAUGAAUAUUUAGGGUAAAUAUACUAAAAAGUACUUCUUACAUUCACUAAUCAAGUUAAUACUGACGAACAAUUUUCAAACCUAAUUUUGAAUUGGCUGUAAAUCGAGUGACGUCAACGAUGAUUGUGUACAUCAAUCAAGUUAAAUUAAGAACUAAAUAAUACUUAAACAUAAAAAAAGAAGUGUAAAAAUUAAGUAUGUUAUGGGUAUAGACCAUAUCUUCAGCGAUUUUAACGAACGCGUUUCCAAUCCAGUAAUUGUACAAUGCAUUUCCAGAAUGAUGAGCUAAUUUGAAUUUUCCAAGGCCUUUUUCUCAAUUUCAAAGGAUGAAAUCAAAUUAAUUAGAAAUUAGGAAGCAAGAACUAGAGUUUAUACGACGCUUGAGAAUGGUUAACCCAAUUUCUUAUUCAGCACUCUGUCAUAGAAUUUUGUUUGACUAAAUCUCAGUACUAACUAAUGCUGUCUAAUGGUAAUGCUUGUAUGAAGCUUUAUAACAUAGGAAGGAAAAGGAUUAUACUGUUAUACAACGGAAGAACAUGAUAAAUUCACGUUCAUUGAUUAGAGACUGCCGACGAUAUCUAAAAGCAGCUUAGAAUCGCGUCAUUUGGAGUAACUACCGAAAACCAAGUAGAAAAAUGAUAAUAAAACUGAUCUAAAAAUCUAUUUGUCAGAUUGCGCCUAAUAGAGAAAAAAAUAGUCAAAUAUGUUGUGAUCGGUACUUCAGAGCAGCAGCGAAAUGUUUACCUUUUCCAAAAAAGAAACAGACAUUAUUUGUGAAAAACGAAGAAAAUAAAUUUCUUUAGCAGUGCACAUAGUUGACAAAACAAUUAAUACGGUUCAUAGGCUAUUGUUCAGAACAUUGUUAGUUUAAGUAAAGGGACGUUAAAUUGUAACAUUGUUGAUGAAAAUGGGAAAUUAAUAAAGGGUAUGAAAAUUAUACCUGAUAAAUAUUAAAAUUAGAGCGAGGGGGCUGACUACAUAUAAGAAAUAUAUGGCAAAAGUACAAAAAUUGGAAGCAAUUUUCUUAAAUUAUCACACUUAUGACGAGAAACACAAAUAUUGACGCAAAUAUUAUCAAUACGAAUGAUGGCAAGACUGAACUGGAAUAUAUUUUAGGGAGGGUACUACUGGAUGCUAUUACCAGGAAAUUUUUUUAGGAUAGCACUAAUAUAAAUGUAAAUUAUUGAGUUAAUUUUGCUCAUUCUAAUUUUAAAAAAAGUAGAGAAAAAUAUUUUUAAUGGACAAAAAAAAUAGCCAUUGGGUUUGCCGAAAUUGAGAACCCUGGAAGGCAUAAUUCUUAAAUGCGGUCCUGUAUAGACUGAACGGUGACUGACGACAUACGGACACGACCGCAUGUCUUACGCGUAUGUUAAAGGGGAUGUGAGGAUAAAAGGUGUUAAAGACAACCAUUUUCUACCCAACACUACUCACGAGUAAAAAAUAUGAAAGUAUCAUACAAUUUCCAGCUAGUAAAUCUUCUACUUGCAUAAGCUGAAUAAUACGGUUUCAUUAUCAAAAAUGAGGUACAUGUCUAUGCGAAUGUAAUAAGUACACAUUGCAUUUGAAUCACGGCAACCGCAAUACAUUAUAUAUCUUUUGUGCUUUUCUUCGUAAUGCAAGUGACCUGAUUAGACCAAUGUUCACAUUUGGUACGAUUGAAUUAUUUUAAUAUCACAAAAGUAUAUUUUGUUUGUAGAAAUCCUAAACGAUAUGUACCAAUCAUAAGAAUAUUUGAUAUUUUUCGGUCAUAACGUAUGCAAAAAAAAUACUCAUAUAAGUGAAGUAAGUAUAAGACUUAUAAGUCAAAUAUUAAAAAAUUACUUUUCAAGUAGAAAGUACAUCAAUAAAUUUUAAGUGCCAAACUUUAUUAUAUACGGAGUCUUGGUAAUGUUGAUUAUUUUGUGUUUACUGAAGCAUGAUUAAAUAUGGAUACCUUUUAUCUUACUUUAAACU
This is a long non-coding RNA of Daktulosphaira vitifoliae (grape phylloxera), 2366 nucleotides long. RefSeq lists it as uncharacterized. The record is from RefSeq and is a predicted model, not a curated record. Lineage: Eukaryota; Metazoa; Arthropoda; Insecta; Hemiptera; Phylloxeridae. The transcript has 9 exons.